This 593-nucleotide ribosomal RNA is filed under the name Tylenchoidea sp. st18_14. RNAcentral describes it as "partial 18S ribosomal RNA". It matches the Rfam family "Eukaryotic small subunit ribosomal RNA", at positions 1037 to 1620 of the family's 1831-position model. The record is from RNAcentral. Lineage: Eukaryota; Metazoa; Nematoda; Chromadorea; Rhabditida.
CUGACCGUAAACGAUGCCAACUAGCGAUCCGCCGGCGGAUUAAUUUGCCUCUGGUGGGGAGCUUCCCGGAAACGAAAGUCUUCCGGUUCCGGGGGAAGUAUGGUUGCAAAGCUGAAACUUAAAGGAAUUGACGGAAGGGCACCACCAGGAGUGGAGCCUGCGGCUUUAAUUUGACUCAACACCGGGGGGAAAACUCACCCGGCCCGGACACCGUAAGGAUUGACAGAUUGAUAGCUUUUUCAUGAUUCGGUGGAUGGUGGUGCAUGGCCGUUCUUAGUUCGUGGAGCGAUUUUGUCUGGUUUAUUCCGAUAACGAGCGAGACUCUGGCCUACUAAAUAGUUGGCGCAUUGCUACUGUGCGUACACACUUCUUAGAGGGAUUUUCGGUGUUUCAGCCGCACGAAAUUGAGCAAUAACAGGUCUGUGAUGCCCUUAGAUGUCCGGGGCUGCACGCGCGCUACACUGGCAAAAUCAGCGUGCUUGGCCUUUCCCGAAAGGGAUUGGUAAACCCGUGAAAAUUUGCUUGGUGUAARAUUGGGAAMCYUGCAUCYUUAGAGKKCCCAWUCCCCGCCGAACUUCCCUARASCCSMYCAG